AGGACGAACGCUGGCGGCGUGCUUAACACAUGCAAGUCGAGCGGGCGUAGCAAUACGUCAGCGGCAGACGGGUGAGUAACGCGUGGGAACGUACCUUUUGGUUCGGAACAACCCAGGGAAACUUGGGCUAAUACCGGAUAAGCCCUUACGGGGAAAGAUUUAUCGCCGAAAGAUCGGCCCGCGUCUGAUUAGCUAGUUGGUGAGGUAAUGGCUCACCAAGGCGACGAUCAGUAGCUGGUCUGAGAGGAUGAUCAGCCACAUUGGGACUGAGACACGGCCCAAACUCCUACGGGAGGCAGCAGUGGGGAAUAUUGGACAAUGGGCGCAAGCCUGAUCCAGCCAUGCCGCGUGAGUGAUGAAGGCCCUAGGGUUGUAAAGCUCUUUCGCACGCGAGGAUGAUGACGCUAGCGUGAGAAGAAGCCCCGGCUAACUUCGCGCCAGCAGCCGC
This 448-nucleotide ribosomal RNA is filed under the name uncultured bacterium. RNAcentral describes it as "SSU rRNA". It matches the Rfam family "Bacterial small subunit ribosomal RNA", at positions 26 to 518 of the family's 1533-position model. The record is from RNAcentral.